Non-coding RNA from Potamilus streckersoni, 80 nucleotides. Lineage: Eukaryota; Metazoa; Mollusca; Bivalvia; Unionida; Unionidae. The record is from the annotation of a GenBank genome assembly.
GACCAGUCAUACAGUAGUCUAGUGGUUAGAGCAUUCACCUUGGAUGCAGUAGGACAUGGGUUCAAACCCCAGCUGAGUCA